Molecule: non-coding RNA, 284 nt
Organism: Parasteatoda tepidariorum (common house spider)
Lineage: Eukaryota; Metazoa; Arthropoda; Arachnida; Araneae; Theridiidae
Source: RefSeq, a predicted model, not a curated record
CGUCUAGUAGAAUGAAAGUAAAUUUUAAAGAAAUCCUAAUUUCUUGUUCGUUUGUCAAGAGUUUGAAUUUUCGAUAGGACUGGCGUAAUCUAUAAUGUGGAAUAUCCCAGAUCAUGUUAAAAUAUCUAACAUUGCAAACUUUUCUUUGAAAAUACAAUUCUAUUUGCAAAGACUUUUUGUUUUGAUAUCAUUAUGUUCUGAAACCUGACGAAAAAUAUGAACAUUAACUAUGUUAAGUAAUGAAGAAACAUUUGAAUAUGAAUUUAAUGGAAAGAAACUUUAAA